AAGUCGUAACAAGGUUUCCGUAGGUGAACCUGCGGAAGGAUCAUUAUCGUGGGGCUUCNGCCCUCUCGAGAUAGAAACCCUUGCCUUUUCNAGUACCCUUCGUUUCCUCGGCAGGCUCGCCUGCCAAUGGGGACCCCAACCAAACCCUUUGUAUAAGCAGUAUACGUCUGAAAAUAAUACAAAAUAUUAAAACUUUCAACAACGGAUCUCUUGGUUCUGGCAUCGAUGAAGAACGCANCGAAAUGCGAUAAGUAGUGUGAAUUGCAGAAUUCANUGAAUCAUCNAAUCUUUGAACGCACAUUGCGCCCUUUGGUAUUCCUUUGGGCACGCCUGUUCGAGCGUCAUUUACCCCCUCAAGCUCAGCUUGGUGAUGGGCGUCUGUCCCGCCUCCCGCGCGUGGACUCGCCUUAAAAGCAUUGGCGGCCGCUACAUUGGCUUCGAGCGCAGCAAAACGCGCCUUCGUUGUCGUGGAUCGGCUCCCAGAAGCCCCUUUUUAUUAGUUUUGACCUCGGAUCAGGUGAGAAUACCCGCUGAACUUA
Molecule: ribosomal RNA, 539 nt
Filed under: uncultured fungus
Lineage: Eukaryota; Fungi
Description: eukaryotic LSU rRNA
Rfam family: 5.8S ribosomal RNA (bases 191-344)
Source: RNAcentral